This is a long non-coding RNA of Pan troglodytes (chimpanzee), 375 nucleotides long. RefSeq lists it as uncharacterized. The transcript has 2 exons. NCBI's taxonomy places the organism in Eukaryota, Metazoa, Chordata, Mammalia, Primates, Hominidae. The record is from RefSeq and is a predicted model, not a curated record.
GUUCAACCCAAUUCCUGCCAAAAUCCCAGCUGCCUUUUCUGCAGAAAUCGGCAAGUGAAUCCUAAAAUUCACAUGGAAAUGCAAAGGACACGGAAUAAGCAAAACAAUCCUGACAAAGAACAAGGAAAUAUACAUUUUCUAGAGCCCAAUCUGCCAGGAGAGAUCUAAGAGAUUACAAUGGAAAAAACUUGAAAUUCUGAGGACAGACAAAAGAAAAAGGAAGAGUUAAUGACUAGUGAGACACCAUCAUGUAGACUGGUGCCACAUGGAAUCUGGGGCAACAGAAUAUGAUCUAUCCAGAUGGACAUACAGGGAAAGCUGGUGCUGGGAAGCACCUUAAGCUACAUGAUUGCAAUAAAUUUUGCUCACCAGUGA